UACGGAGGAUGCGAGCGUUAUCCGGAUUUAUUGGGUUUAAAGGGUGCGCAGGCGGAAGAUCAAGUCAGCGGUAAAAUUGAGGGGCUCAACCUCUUCGAGCCGUUGAAACUGGUUUUCUUGAGUGAGCGAGAAGUAUGCGGAAUGCGUGGUGUAGCGGUGAAAUGCAUAGAUAUCACGCAGAACUCCGAUUGCGAAGGCAGCAUACCGGCGCUCAACUGACGCUCAUGCACGAAAGUGUGGGUAUCGAACGGG
Molecule: ribosomal RNA, 252 nt
Filed under: uncultured bacterium
Lineage: Bacteria
Description: partial 16S ribosomal RNA
Rfam family: Bacterial small subunit ribosomal RNA
Source: RNAcentral